Molecule: long non-coding RNA, 234 nt
Organism: Cavia porcellus (domestic guinea pig)
Lineage: Eukaryota; Metazoa; Chordata; Mammalia; Rodentia; Caviidae
Exons: 2
Source: RefSeq, a predicted model, not a curated record
CUGCUGCAAUAACUCUUUGUUACCUGGGAUUACCUAGGAGUUAGCAAACAUAAACAACUGACUUAGAAUUUGGUCUCAGGGUGCUCGCGGUGCCCUGCGGACUUCAUUCACCGAAAGGUCUGCAAAAGGAAGCCAUCAGGGAGCUAUGACCUUGUCUAAAACCAUCUAGGGAGAGACAUUUCUUCCUCUCUGAUCUGAAACAAAAUAAAAACCAUAAAAUGAAACCAUCAAAAA